AUGGCCUCCCUUACCACCAUCACCGCUCCACAUCUGUCCCCAGCCUUGACACGACGGCGCAACGCCGCCGUGCCUAGGCGAAGACCCUCCUUCCGCUGCCAAAACCGCCCCCCGACCGAGCCGCCGAUCGGCGGCGACGGAGGAGGAGGAGGAAAGAAGAGGGCGUGGUGGGUGACCAUGGCCGAGAGGGCGCACAGCGGCGUGGUGAAGGCGGGGAUGGACGUGCGGGAGAGCCUGAGCCCGAAGCAGAAGGGGGACUGGAAGGACGUGGCGCUCAUGAGCCUCUCCUUCGCCGUCUACGUCUACAUCUCCCAGAAGAUCGUGUGCACAUACUGCGCCUGGGUCUCCAUGAUGAAUCACUAG
This 363-nucleotide ribosomal RNA is filed under the name Triticum aestivum (bread wheat). RNAcentral's name for it is "partial small subunit ribosomal RNA". The record is from RNAcentral. Lineage: Eukaryota; Viridiplantae; Streptophyta; Magnoliopsida; Poales; Poaceae.